Molecule: ribosomal RNA, 495 nt
Filed under: uncultured bacterium
Lineage: Bacteria
Description: partial 16S ribosomal RNA
Rfam family: Bacterial small subunit ribosomal RNA
Source: RNAcentral
GACGAACGCUGGCGGCGUGCCUAAUACAUGCAAGUAGAACGCUGAAGGAGGAGCUUGCUUCUCCGGAUGAGUUGCGAACGGGUGAGUAACGCGUAGGUAACCUGCCUAGUAGCGGGGGAUAACUAUUGGAAACGAUAGCUAGUACCGCAUAACAGUAGAUGUUGCAUGACAUUUGCUUAAAAGGUGCAAUUGCAUCACUACCAGAUGGACCUGCGUUGUAUUAGCUAGUUGGUGAGGUAACGGCUCACCAAGGCGACGAUACAUAGCCGACCUGAGAGGGUGAUCGGCCACACUGGGACUGAGACACGGCCCAGACUCCUACGGGAGGCAGCAGUAGGGAAUCUUCGGCAAUGGACGGAAGUCUGACCGAGCAACGCCGCGUGAGUGAAGAAGGUUUUCGGAUCGUAAAGCUCUGUUGUAAGAGAAGAACGAGUGUGAGAGUGGAAAGUUCACACUGUGACGGUAUCUUACCAGAAAGGGACGGCUAACUACGUG